Molecule: ribosomal RNA, 253 nt
Filed under: uncultured bacterium
Lineage: Bacteria
Description: partial 16S ribosomal RNA
Rfam family: Bacterial small subunit ribosomal RNA
Source: RNAcentral
UACGAAGGGGGCUAGCGUUGCUCGGAAUCACUGGGCGUAAAGCGCACGUAGGCGGACUCUUAAGUCGGUGGUGAAAUCCUGGAGCUCAACUCCAGAACUGCCUUUGAUACUGGCGAUCUCGAGUCCGGGAGAGGUGAGUGGAACUGCGAGUGUAGAGGUGAAAUUCGUAGAUAUUCGCAAGAACACCAGUGGCGAAGGCGGCUCACUGGCCCGGUACUGACGCUGAGGCACGAAAGCGUGGGGAGCAAACAGG